RNAcentral lists this long non-coding RNA (1008 nucleotides) under Lathyrus oleraceus (garden pea). Its description in RNAcentral is "Pisum sativum (pea) long non-coding RNA (PSAT_LNC023901)". The record is from RNAcentral. Lineage: Eukaryota; Viridiplantae; Streptophyta; Magnoliopsida; Fabales; Fabaceae.
UUAUCCACAUUCUCUCUAACACUCUCAUUUCUUCCUCUUCCUCACCUAAGUGCUUUAGCACUAAUAAUAUGUGUAUGGUGUGCAUUAUUUGCAAAGCAUAUUAAAAUGCAUUUUUUCAAAAUUUAUUUUGUCUUUUUUUUUUAAAUCAAUUUACAAAUAAUUUAAAAAAAUUUAAGAGAUGAAUUCUCUUCUUGAAUUUACUAUUUCUCUCAAAAAUUUCUUGAACAAUAUCUAUUUAAAUAAAUUCUUAAAUUAAAAAUUAUUAAAUAUAUGUAUGGUUUUACAAUCCCUCCAUCUUUCUUUUCGUUUUUUUCUUAUACUUUUACUCAAAACAAAUAGCUAAAAUAUCUUCUUACAUUCUAUUCAUUCUCUAUUCAAUUUUUAAUUUUUUAAUUUCUUUCCUUUUAGAGAGUUAAGAAACAUAUUUAAUCCAAAUAAUUAUUAAAGGAAUAUCUUUAAUUAAAAAACCAUUUCUUAAUUCCUCCCCAAGUAGCUUUAACAUGGACUACAAGGCCAUAUUAGUAUAAAUUAUAAAAGAGAAUGUACAUCCAUGGCCAUAAAGAAUGGGCGUGAAGAAAAAAUUGGCAAAUAUAUCAUAAUCAUAACUACCACCAAACCAUAUGUAUAUUUGCUUUAAUGAAACUUGAGGUUCACUCCAUGUUUUGGUGCAGGUCUAAUCAGUAUGCUUCUUUAAGUUCACAGUUGGCUUAAUUAUGAGGAUAAUGGAUAACACUAUAACAUGAUGACUAGGGCAAUCCCUUUCUACACCAAGUCCAUGUAUUAUUCACACGGAGUUAAGUUUGCAAUAUUUUUAUUUUGAAGUUGUUUAUACUUCAGUUCAUUAAUACAGUAUUUUUAUAAGCAAAUAUACUCAAAAGAGUAAAUGGUACUAUUCAAAAUUUGUUACAAAUAAACUAUAUCACAAAAAGGAACUUUUUUCUUUCUUAACACUAAAUUCAUCAUAAAAGAUAGAUAAAAAAUGAAAGAAAAAAAGUAUUGAAAUUGAAG